RNAcentral lists this unclassified non-coding RNA (376 nucleotides) under uncultured Pseudomonadota bacterium. RNAcentral's name for it is "uncultured proteobacterium contains 16S-23S intergenic spacer region". The record is from RNAcentral. Lineage: Bacteria; Pseudomonadati; Pseudomonadota.
UCCGGCUUAACGCCGGCAGUCUCCCUAGAGUGCCCAACUGAAUGGUGGCAACUAAGGACGAGGGUUGCGCUCGUUGCGGGACUUAACCCAACACCUCACGGCACGAGCUGACGACAGCCAUGCAGCACCUGAACCGGCAGUCCCCGAAGGGAAAAUCCUAUCUCUAGGACAGUCCACCGUUGUCAAACGCUGGUAAGGUUCUGCGCGUUGCUUCGAAUUAGACCACAUGCUCCACCGCUUGUGCAGGCCCCCGUCAAUUUCUUUGAGUUUUAAUCUUGCGACCGUACUCCCCAGGCGGAAUGCUUAAUGCGUUAGCUGCGCCACCGACGGGCAAGCCCGCCAACGGCUGGCAUUCAUCGUUUACGGCGUGGACUAC